This 322-nucleotide ribosomal RNA is filed under the name uncultured eukaryote. Its description in RNAcentral is "partial 18S ribosomal RNA". It matches the Rfam family "Eukaryotic small subunit ribosomal RNA", at positions 1470 to 1796 of the family's 1831-position model. The record is from RNAcentral.
CCCUUAGAUGUUCUGGGCCGCACGCGCGCUACACUGAAUGGAUCAACGUGUUUUCCCUUCCCGAGAGGGACGGGUAACCCGCUGAACCCCAUUCGUGGUAGGGAUCGGAGCUUGCAAUUGUUCUCCGUGAACCAGGAAUUCCCAGUAAGCGCAAGUCAUAAGCUUGCGUUGAUUACGUCCCUGCCCUUUGUACACACCGCCCGUCGCUACUACCGAUUGAAGGUAAUGAUGAGCCCUCAGGAUUGUGGCCUCGUCGCGUCAGCGUCUUGGCUGCGAGAAUCUGUGCAAAUCCCUACCUUUAGAGGAAGGUGAAGUCGUAACA